Molecule: ribosomal RNA, 463 nt
Filed under: uncultured bacterium
Lineage: Bacteria
Description: partial 16S ribosomal RNA
Rfam family: Bacterial small subunit ribosomal RNA
Source: RNAcentral
AGUGAACGCUGGCGGCGUGCCUAAUACAUGCAAGUCGAACGAUGAAGUCCUAGCUUGCUAGGAUGGAUUAGUGGCGCACGGGUGAGUAAUAUAUAGUUAAUCUGCCCUACACAGAGGAACAACAGUUGGAAACGGCUGCUAAUACCUCAUACGCCUAUUUGACAUAAGUUAAAUAGGGAAAGUCUUUUCGGUGUAGGAUGAGACUAUAUCGUAUCAGCUAGUUGGUAAGGUAAUGGCUUACCAAGGCUAUGACGCGUAACUGGUCUGAGAGGAUGGUCAGUCACAUUGGGACUUAGGCCCCGUCCAAACUCCCACGGGAGGCAGCAGGAAGGAAUAUUGCGCAAUGGGGGAAACCCUGACGCAGCAACGGCGCGUGGAGGAUGACACUUUUCGGAGCGUAAACUCCUUUUAUCAGGAAAGAAUAAUGACGGUACCUGAUGAAUAAGCACCGGCUAACUCCGUG